GUGCCAGCAGCCGCGGUAAUACGUAAGGGGCGAGCGUUGUCCGGAAUUAUUGGGCGUAAAGAGUGCGUAGGCGGCAAAUUAAGUCAGAUGUGAAAACUAAGGGCUCAGCCCAUAGAUUGCAUCUGAAACUAUAUGCUUGAGUCAAGGAGAGGAAAGUGGAAUUCCUAGUGUAGCGGUGGAAUGCGUAGAUAUUAGGAGGAAUACCGGUGGCGAAGGCGACUUUCUGGACUUGUACUGACGCUGAGGCACGAAAGCGUGGGGAGCAAACAGGAUUAGAUACCCUGGUAGUCCACGCCGUAAACGAUGAGUGCUAGGUGUCUGCUCAUAAGAGUAGGUGCCGUACGUUAACACAAUAAGCACUCCGCCUGGGGAGUACGUACGCAAGUAUGAAACUCAAAGGAAUUGACGG
This 409-nucleotide ribosomal RNA is filed under the name uncultured organism. RNAcentral's name for it is "SSU rRNA". It matches the Rfam family "Bacterial small subunit ribosomal RNA", at positions 505 to 916 of the family's 1533-position model. The record is from RNAcentral.